Molecule: ribosomal RNA, 439 nt
Filed under: uncultured bacterium
Lineage: Bacteria
Description: partial 16S ribosomal RNA
Rfam family: Bacterial small subunit ribosomal RNA
Source: RNAcentral
CUACGGGCGGCUCCAGUGAGGAAUAUUGCACAAUGGGGGGAACCCUGAUGCAGCAACGCCGCGUGGAGGAUGACGCAUUUCGGUGUGUAAACUCCUUUUAUAUGUCAAGAAGAUGACGGUAGCAUAUGAAUAAGCACCGGCUAACUCCGUGCCAGCAGCUGCGGUAAUACGGAGGGUGCAAGCGUUACUCGGAAUCACUGGGCGUAAAGGACGCGUAGGGGGGUUGGAAAGUCAGGUGUGAAAUCCUACAGCUUAACUGUAGAACUGCACUUGAAACUUCUAAUCUAGAGUAUGGGAGGGGGAGAUGGAAUUAGUGGUGUAGGGGUAAAAUCCGUAGAUAUCACUAGGAAUACCUAAAGCGAAGGCGAUCUCCUGGAACAUUACUGACGCUAAGGCGUGAAAGCGUGGGGAGCAAACAGGAUUAGAUACCCCUGUAGUC